GUCUCUUUGCGUAUUUGCACUCACUGGUUGUAAUUGUUGUCAUCGGCGCAAAGUGUGGGAAGACGAAAAUGGGUACAUUAGAAGGAGAACGGGCUAAAAGUCAGUUAAAAUGAGACUGUGGAUUUUGUAUUAACUCCUGGCAAAGAAGGAGGUGUUAGCUCAAGAGGAGAUUUUAACUUCAACCUGUCAGCAACAGCUUGAAACUGAAAGCAUCUGGCUGCAGCUUGGGUUGAGGAGUUGGACAGAAUGACCUCAGAGCAGGAGAUACAUGUCAAUAAGGCAGUCAGUGACUUAUUGUAUGUGGAGCAAAUACAAAGUGUUCUUUGUGCAAUGUGAUCAGUUGUGAGACACAUUUGUGCAUUUUACAAUUAUUGACUGUAUUAUACUCUGACAACCAUUCUCUCUAGUUUGUGUGUAGCUAUCUGCAUCAGUGAAGAUAUAUUAUCAUGGAUUUAUAAAAAUUUGUACACAA
This is a long non-coding RNA of Schistocerca americana (American grasshopper), 472 nucleotides long. RefSeq lists it as uncharacterized. The record is from RefSeq and is a predicted model, not a curated record. The transcript has 2 exons. NCBI's taxonomy places the organism in Eukaryota, Metazoa, Arthropoda, Insecta, Orthoptera, Acrididae.